RNAcentral lists this ribosomal RNA (1001 nucleotides) under uncultured bacterium. Its description in RNAcentral is "bacterial SSU rRNA". It matches the Rfam family "Bacterial small subunit ribosomal RNA", at positions 8 to 986 of the family's 1533-position model. The record is from RNAcentral.
AGAGUUUGAUCAUGGCUCAGAACGAACGCUGGCGGCGUGGAUAAGACAUGCAAGUCGAGCGCUGGCUGCAAGGUAGCAAUAUUUUGCAGUUGGAGCGGCGCAAGGGUGCGUAACACGUGGGUAAUCUGCCAGGAAGUCUGGAAUAACUUGCUGAAAGGCGAGCUAAUACCGGAUGUGACCAAUGGGGAGCAUUUUCCGUUGGUUAAAGUUGGGGACCGCAAGGCCUGACGCUUCCUGAUGAGCCCGCGGCCUAUCAGCUAGUUGGUGAGGUAACGGCUCACCAAGGCCAAGACGGGUAGCUGGUCUGAGAGGACGACCAGCCACACUGGAACUGAGACACGGUCCAGACACCUACGGGUGGCAGCAGUCGAGAAUUUUUCACAAUGGGGGAAACCCUGAUGGAGCGACGCCGCGUGGGGGAUGAAUGGCUUCGGCCCGUAAACCCCUGUCAUUUGCGAUCAACCGUUAGUAUUUAAAAGAUGCUGACCUGAUGGUAGCGAAAGAGGAAGGGACGGCUAACUCUGUGCCAGCAGCCGCGGUAAUACAGAGGUCCCGAGCGUUGUUCGGAUUCACUGGGCGUAAAGGGUGCGUAGGUGGUGGGGUAAGUCGGAUGUGAAAUCUCGGAGCUCAACUCCGAAACGGCAUUGGAAACUGCCCUGCUAGAGGUUUGGAGGGGGGACUGGAAUUCUCGGUGUAGCAGUGAAAUGCGUAGAUAUCGAGAGGAACACCAGUGGCGAAGGCGAGUCCCUGGACAAGACCUGACACUGAGGCACGAAAGCUAGGGGAGCAAACAGGAUUAGAUACCCUGGUAGUCCUAGCCGUAACCGGUGCGUGCUUGCUGUAAAAGGAAUCGACCCCUUUUGUGGCGGAGCCAACGCGUUAAGCACGCCGCCUGGGAAGUACGUCGCAGAUUAAAACUCAAAGAAAUUGACGGGGCCUGCACAGCGGUGGAGUAUGUGGCUCAAUUCGAUGCAACGCGAAGAACCUUACCUGGCCUGACA